AUUGAACGCUGGCGGCAGGCCUAACACAUGCAAGUCGAGCGAGCGGCGGAAGGGUGAGUAAUGUAUGGGGACUGCCCGUUAGAGGGGGAUAACAACUGGAAAAGGUGUCGAAUACCGCAUACAGUAGGAUAACCCAAAUGGGAUGAGCUAGUAGGUGGGGUAAUGGCUUACCUAGGCGACGAUCCCUAGCUGGUCUGAGAGGAUGAUCAGCCACACUGGGACUGAGACACGGCCCAGACUCCUACGGAGGCAGCAGUGGGGAAUAUUGCGCAAUGGGCGCAAGCCUGAUGCAGCCAUGACGCGUGUAUGAAGAAGGCCCUCGGGUUGUAAAGUACUUUCAGUCGGGAGGCGUUACCGAAAGAGGAAGCACCGGCUAACUCCGUGCCAGCAGCCGCGGUAAUAC
Molecule: ribosomal RNA, 403 nt
Filed under: uncultured bacterium
Lineage: Bacteria
Description: partial 16S ribosomal RNA
Rfam family: Bacterial small subunit ribosomal RNA
Source: RNAcentral